Hyposmocoma kahamanoa is the source of this 405-nucleotide long non-coding RNA. RefSeq lists it as uncharacterized. The transcript is spliced from 4 exons. Lineage: Eukaryota; Metazoa; Arthropoda; Insecta; Lepidoptera; Cosmopterigidae. The record is from RefSeq and is a predicted model, not a curated record.
GGCCACGAUUAGGUGGGCCUGUUGAGAGAUGCUAUAACUUUAUACCUGUUUGCUUUAGUUGAUUAGGCACAUCGUUAAAAUACAAUUUAUUGGAGUCCCUUCAAGAGGCUUUAUGAUGGUGUGGGCGUAGGGGCCGGUGAGACCUCCCGUCAUCCCAGCAAGGCACGCGUCCGUUCACCUUAAUGAAGGUCGAACCCGAGCCGGAAAGUAACUGAAUAUUUCACAGUACACCGACCAUUCGUCAAAUAAUAUAAUGCAAGUACUAAGACUAAGAAGAAACUGAUUCAAAACACGCUAGUGUGAAUCUCAGUGACGAAUUUCGUGAUGGCCUCCCGCCCACUGCUGUAGACAACAAAAACAUCGAUGCUGUGCGCCGUAUGAUCAAAACAGACAGGCAUGUGACAU